GGUUCAGGACGAACGCUGGCGGCGUGCCUAAUACAUGCAAGUCGAACGGCUUUUCUAUGGAAGCUUGCUUCCACUGAGAAGAUAGUGGCGGACGGGUGAGUAACACGUGGGUAACCUGCCCAUAAGAGGGGGAGUAACAUCCGGAAACGGGUGCUAAUACCGCAUAGUUUUCUUGAUCGCAUGAUUGAGAAAGGAAAGACGGCCUUUGUGCUGUCGCUUAUGGAUGGACCCGCGGCGUAUUAGUUAGUUGGUGAGGUAACGGCUCACCAAGACGAUGAUACGUAGCCGACCUGAGAGGGUGAUCGGCCACAUUGGGACUGAGACACGGCCCAAACUCCUACGGGAGGCAGCAGUAGGGAAUCUUCCGCAAUGGACGAAAGUCUGACGGAGCAACGCCGCGUGAGUGAAGAAAAGGUUUUCGGAUCGUAAAACUCUGUUGUCAGAGAAGAACAAGUCGGAGAGUAACUGCUCCGGCCUUGACGGUAUCUGACCAGAAAGCCACGGCUAACUACGUGCCAGCCGCAGC
This 526-nucleotide ribosomal RNA is filed under the name uncultured bacterium. RNAcentral describes it as "bacterial SSU rRNA". It matches the Rfam family "Bacterial small subunit ribosomal RNA", at positions 21 to 518 of the family's 1533-position model. The record is from RNAcentral.